This 229-nucleotide unclassified non-coding RNA is filed under the name plant metagenome. RNAcentral's name for it is "partial contains small subunit ribosomal RNA, internal transcribed spacer 1, and 5.8S ribosomal RNA". The record is from RNAcentral.
UCUCCGUAGGUGAACCUGCGGAGGGAUCAUUACAGAGUUCAUGCCCUACCGGGUAGAUCUCCCACCCUAUGUUAUUAUUACUUUGUUGCUUUGGCGGGCCGUUAGGCUCCGGCCCGACUACCGGCCCCGGCUGGUAAGCGCCCGCCAGAGGACCCAAAACCCUGAAUAUUAGAGUCGUCUGAGUACUAUAUAAUAGUUAAAACUUUCAACAACGGAUCUCUUGGUUCUG